This 413-nucleotide ribosomal RNA is filed under the name Saccharomyces cerevisiae (brewer's yeast). Its description in RNAcentral is "partial 15S ribosomal RNA". The record is from RNAcentral. Lineage: Eukaryota; Fungi; Ascomycota; Saccharomycetes; Saccharomycetales; Saccharomycetaceae.
GAUCCUUAUAAUAUGGGUAAUAGACGUGCUAUAAUAAAAUGAUAAUAAAAUUAUAUAAAAUAUAUUUAAUUAUAUUUAAUUAAUAAUAUAAAACAUUUUAAUUUUUAAUAUAUUUUUUUAUUAUAUAUUAAUAUGAAUUAUAAUCUGAAAUUCGAUUAUAUGAAAAAAGAAUUGCUAGUAAUACGUAAAUUAGUAUGUUACGGUGAAUAUUCUAACUGUUUCGCACUAAUCACUCAUCACGCGUUGAAACAUAUUAUUAUCUUAUUAUUUAUAUAAUAUUUUUUAAUAAAUAUUAAUAAUUAUUAAUUUAUAUUUAUUUAUAUCAGAAAUAAUAUGAAUUAAUGCGAAGUUGAAUACAGUUACCGUAGGGGAACCUGCGGUGGGCUUAUAAAUAUCUUAAAUAUUCUUACAUA